CCUCGCUGUUUGGAGACUGUGUCUACAUAUGAAACCCAGAGAUCUGUAAUGUGGAAUUGGACAUCUCACCUCUUGGCUCUAAAUUCAUCCUUCAGUAUUCAUUAGUUGGACACAGAUUGAUGGAGAAGCCUUGCAGGCUGUGUACACUGAAAUGCAUGGUACACUGUUCCUGAAAUACAUAUACAAGAGCAUAUCUCUUCAUCGGUGUGAGAGAUGAUACAGGAAGCUAAGUCAAAUGAUGUGUGUGUGUGUUUCUGUGUAAAUGUUCUAGUGGGAAGCAGGGGUUCUACAGAUCUCUGUCCCAGGAUGAGGAGAAUGAAACAUUGAGUUUUCCACAAAUUAAACAAUAUUUCCUACCCAUA
Chinchilla lanigera (long-tailed chinchilla) is the source of this 362-nucleotide long non-coding RNA. RefSeq lists it as uncharacterized. Lineage: Eukaryota; Metazoa; Chordata; Mammalia; Rodentia; Chinchillidae. The record is from RefSeq and is a predicted model, not a curated record. The transcript has 2 exons.